Melanaphis sacchari is the source of this 342-nucleotide long non-coding RNA. RefSeq lists it as uncharacterized. Lineage: Eukaryota; Metazoa; Arthropoda; Insecta; Hemiptera; Aphididae. The transcript is spliced from 4 exons. The record is from RefSeq and is a predicted model, not a curated record.
AGAAUGUAAUCCAAGAAAAAAUAUCUUCAAAUAAAGCCAAAAUAGAACAACAGAAAUCGGUUACAACCAGUAAAAAGUAUCUGGAAAAUGAUACUGUUAAAGACUGUGAAGACUCUGAUUGUGAUAUUUUCAAAAAGUAUUUUGAAUUUCUCUCUGCUCACUCAAUUGAUGAUAAAGAUGUUGCUAUGCUAACCCCAAAUAAGAAUUCAAGAAUUUUAAGUGAUAAUGAGAAGAAUCCAUUAUUAUCUAAAAAAAAUAAGAAGAAAAAGAAAAAUGUUUUUGAGAAUGUAAUCCGAGAAAAAAUAUCUUCAAAUAAAGCCAAAAUAGAACAACAGAAAUCGG